RNAcentral lists this ribosomal RNA (258 nucleotides) under uncultured bacterium. RNAcentral describes it as "partial 16S ribosomal RNA". It matches the Rfam family "Bacterial small subunit ribosomal RNA", at positions 96 to 354 of the family's 1533-position model. The record is from RNAcentral.
UGGCGGACGGGUGAGUAACGCGUGGGCAACCUGCCUUACACAGGGGGAUAACACUUAGAGAUAGGUGCUAAAACCGCAUAAGCGCACAGCUUCGCAUGAAGCGGUGUGAAAAACUCCGGUGGUGUAAGAUGGACCCGCGUCUGAUUAGCUUGUUGGCGGGGUAACGGCCCACCAAGGCGACGAUCAGUAGCCGGCCUGAGAGGGUGAACGGCCACAUUGGGACUGAGACACGGCCCAAACUCCUACGGAAGGCAGCAG